RNAcentral lists this ribosomal RNA (821 nucleotides) under uncultured bacterium. Its description in RNAcentral is "bacterial SSU rRNA". It matches the Rfam family "Bacterial small subunit ribosomal RNA", at positions 28 to 896 of the family's 1533-position model. The record is from RNAcentral.
AACGAACGCUGGCGGCAGGCCUAACACAUGCAAGUCGAGCGCUACCUUCGGGUGGAGCGGCGGACGGGUUAGUAACGCGUGGGAAUAUGCCCUUCUCUACGGAAUAGCCUCGGGAAACUGAGAGUAAUACCGUAUACGCCCUACGGGGGAAAGAUUUAUCGGAGAAGGAUUAGCCCGCGUUGGAUUAGGUAGUUGGUGGGGUAAUGGCCUACCAAGCCUACGAUCCAUAGCUGGUUUGAGAGGAUGAUCAGCAACACUGGGACUGAGACACGGCCCAGACUCCUACGGGAGGCAGCAGUGGGGAAUCUUAGACAAUGGGCGCAAGCCUGAUCUAGCCAUGCCGCGUGAGUGAUGAAGGCCUUAGGGUCGUAAAGCUCUUUCGCUAGGGAAGAUAAUGACGGUACCUAGUAAAGAAGUCCCGGCUAACUCCGUGCCAGCAGCCGCGGUAAUACGGAGGGGACUAGCGUUGUUCGGAAUUACUGGGCGUAAAGCGUACGUAGGCGGAUUGGAAAGUAUGGGGUGAAAUCCCAGGGCUCAACCCUGGAACUGCCUCAUAAACUAUCAGUCUAGAGUUCGAGAGAGGUGAGUGGAAUUCCGAGUGUAGAGGUGAAAUUCGUAGAUAUUCGGAGGAACACCAGUGGCGUAGGCGGCUCACUGGCUCGAUACUGACGCUGAGGUACGAAAGUGUGGGGAGCAAACAGGAUUAGAUACCCUGGUAGUCCACACCGUAAACGAUGAAUGCCAGACGUCGGGUAGCAUGCUAUUCGGUGUCACACCUAACGGAUUAAGCAUUCCGCCUGGGGAGUACGGUCGCAAGAUUA